UUACAGUCCACCAUAUUUACGUAAGUACUCUUUCAACCAUACCCUUACCUUUACCACACCACUCCACUUUUUUUCUCAUUAAUUUCCAUGUUCUUUGCUGUAUAGCCACCGCCUGCUACGGCAACGAUGCAUCGCAGUUUCCUUCCAAUAAUUUAUUUGCGGCGGCCGGCAAUGGAAUAUGGGACAAUGGGGCAUCCUGUGGGAGAGAGUAUUUGGUCAGGUGCAUUAGUGCCACGGUUGCCGGUUCUUGUCAACCAGGUCAAACGAUUCAAAUAAAAAUCGUUGAUUAUGCUCUUUCAACGACCACCCCGCCAUCGGCAAGCGG
RNAcentral lists this unclassified non-coding RNA (325 nucleotides) under Hevea brasiliensis (rubber tree). The record is from RNAcentral. Lineage: Eukaryota; Viridiplantae; Streptophyta; Magnoliopsida; Malpighiales; Euphorbiaceae.